GGCGUAGGCCCGUGCCCCUGCUCGCGCUGCAGCCCGUGGAAGGGUUGCGUCCAGUGUAUCCUCCAGAUCUUGCGGUAGUCCUCUCGUAUCUGUGCGCGCGCGGGAGGGACAGCGGCGGCGACGGCCGGAGGUGUACGGUCAGCGGGUUGCGGAGGAUCGUGCGGGUAGCAAAGGGAGGCCGAGUGCGCCUGCGGCUCCCAGACGGCAAACGGUUGCUUCCUCUACUGAAGUCUUGAAACCCCUGAAAGUCAUCCCUGAGGGUUGGAGUUAACUUCUUCUACACUCCUGUUAAUGUUGAUAUUUUGGCCUCCUCCCAUGAAUCACAAAUGUUCUUAAUGGCAUCUAGAAUGGUGCUGUCAACUCUCACCUGGUUUCCUUAGCUCUGGUGAAGUAUUUUCGUGUAUGGAUUGUUUUUCAAAUUGAUGUUUCUGUUGGGGGAUGAGCACUGGAAAGUCCUGCUCUGCCGUCUUGCUGCCAUCUGGACUCCCAAGAACAUGCAUCAUUAUUAGAACCAUCACCCUGCAGCUAGCUUGGAUACCAUUAAAAGGGCUCACCAGCUGCAAACGGAUAAAAGUAUCUGAUACUCGGGAAGACAGAGUUUCAGGGUUUCUACCUGGAGCUACACCCUCCAGAAGCCCCUCCUUGGCCUCCCUGCACCCAGCCCCAUCCCAGCCAGUCACAUCUUGGGCUGUACGUGGUGUUUCUUGGAAACCGGAACACAGACUCCUCCAGCAGCUCCACAGGCCCCUUGUCCUCAGUGAGCAGAAGACUACAGGAGCUGGCUACUGAAGAGGCUGUCCAAGUGAUAGAGCACCUUCUUGGCCCUGCUUAGCACAUUUACUGCAGAGCUGGAUGCUACUUAUUUGUGCUCACCACCUUCAGGGACUGCAGAGGGAUUUGUCAGACCCUACUUCACUAAGGGCCACCCUCUAAGGAUCUCCAGAAGAGGCUGCCCAUAGAGAGAAGUGGCCUGCCUAGGGUCUCCACUGCCUCAGGUCCUACCCGGACACCUCUAGGGCUGAGGGGAUCGGUAUCUCUUCACCUACCUGUAAUCCACAUACCAAGUGGAAGAAUCUGCCUGCUAUUUUUUGUUUGUUUUGGCGGGAAGAGUUUUAACUACUGCUGUAAUUCCUUUAGUAGCUAUGGAACUGUUGAGGAUUUCUUUUUCUUCUUGAGUCGAUUUUCGUAAGAUAACAGUUUUCUAGGAGUUGGUCCAUUUUGCCUGCAUUUUCAAAUUCAUUGGCAUCAAGUUUCCUUUUUAUUCUCUGCUGUGUAUAAACUGUAACGAUGUCUCCUUUUUCAUUACUGAUAUUGGUUAUUUGUGCCUUCUCACUUUUUUUCUUGAUCAAUCUCACCAGAGGUUUAUCUAUUUUAUUAGUCUUUUCAAAGAACCAACUUUUGGCUUUGUUGCUCCUCUCUAUUGUAUCUUUGUUUUCUAUUUCUUUAAUUUCCGCUCUUAUCUUUUUUGAUCUCCUUCCUUCCACAUUUUUUGGGUUUAUUCUGUUGUUCUUUUUCUAAUUUCUUUAACUGGACAUUGAGCUCAUUAAUUUUCAUUCUUGCCCAUUUUCUAAUUUGUGCAUUUAAGGAUAUAAUUUCCCUCUAACUACUGCUUCUCCAUAAGUGUAGAUAUGUAGUAUUUUCAUUAUUGUUCAGUUAUAAGUAUUUCAUUUCCAUCAAGGUUACUUCUUUUACCUGUAAGUUAUAUAGAAAUGUGUUUUUAGAUUUCCAAAUGUUUGGGGAUUUAAAAUUUUACCUCUUUGUUAUUGAAAGCUGUCUUAAUUGCAUUAUGGUCAGAGGAUGUGGUUCGUGUGAUAACAACUCUGAAAUUUUUUAGACUUGUUUUAUGGCUUAGUAUGUGACCAAUAUUUUUGAAUGCUUCCUAUGUGCUAAUUUAUAAGAAUGUGUGUUCUCUAAUUGUUGAAUACAGAGAUCUGCAUAUGUCUAUUA
This 1947-nucleotide long non-coding RNA is filed under the name Macaca mulatta (Rhesus monkey). RNAcentral describes it as "lncRNA (ENSMMUG00000053262.1)". Lineage: Eukaryota; Metazoa; Chordata; Mammalia; Primates; Cercopithecidae. The record is from RNAcentral.